RNAcentral lists this ribosomal RNA (406 nucleotides) under uncultured bacterium. Its description in RNAcentral is "partial 16S ribosomal RNA". It matches the Rfam family "Bacterial small subunit ribosomal RNA", at positions 30 to 526 of the family's 1533-position model. The record is from RNAcentral.
AUUGAACGCUGGCGGCAGGCCUAACACAUGCAAGUCGAGCGAGCGGCGGACGGGUGAGUAAUGUCUGGGAAACUGCCCGAUGGAGGGGGAUAACUACUGGAAACGGUAGCUAAUAUCGCACACCAUCAGAUGUGCCCAGAUGGGAUUAGCUAGUGGUUGGGGUAACGGCUCACCUAGGCGACGAUCCCUAGCUGGUCUGAGAGGAUGACCCGCCACAAUGGAACUGAGACACGGUCCAGACUCCUACGGGAGGCAGCAGUGGGGAAUAUUGCGCAAUGGGGGCAAGCCUGAUGCAGCCAUGCCGCGUGUGUGAAGAAGGCCUUCGGGUUGUAAAGCACUUUCAGCAGGGAGGCGUUACCUGCAGAAGAAGCACCGGCUAACUCCGUGCCAGCAGCCGCGGUAAUUC